AGCGCAGGCGGGCGAUCAAGUUGGAAGUGAAAUCCAUGGGCUCAACCCAUGAACUGCUUUCAAAACUGGUCGUCUUGAGUAGUGCAGAGGUAGGCGGAAUUCCCGGUGUAGCGGUGGAAUGCGUAGAUAUCGGGAGGAACACCAGUGGCGAAGGCGGCCUACUGGGCACCAACUGACGCUGAGGCUCGAAAGUGUGGUAGCAAACA
Molecule: ribosomal RNA, 206 nt
Filed under: uncultured bacterium
Lineage: Bacteria
Description: partial 16S ribosomal RNA
Rfam family: Bacterial small subunit ribosomal RNA
Source: RNAcentral